Molecule: ribosomal RNA, 438 nt
Filed under: Prodidomus rufus
Lineage: Eukaryota; Metazoa; Arthropoda; Arachnida; Araneae; Prodidomidae
Description: partial 16S ribosomal RNA
Source: RNAcentral
UUCUAUUAAUCUUUUUAAUACUCCCCCUCUCCCCCAUUUUUAAUAAAUAGCCCCCAUCCUGCUAAGGUAGCAUAAUCCUUAGUCUUUUAAAUAAACCCCUGUGCCAAAGAUUUAACAUCUUAGUUAAUUUCUUUAACUCCAUUCCUUAAACUUUUUUAAAAAUAAAAAGAUUCCUAUAACAAAGAAAGACGACCAGACCCUAUUGAACUUUACUUCAGGUUAACUGGGGCAGGUAAUUAAUUAUAAUUUUAAUUAAAUUUAAUAAAAAAAUAGACCUAUUUCAAAUAAUAAAAUGAUCAAGUUACCAUAGGGAUAACAGCAUAAUAAUUUUCUAAAGAACCCAUAACAAAAAAGGGAGAUGACCCCGAUGUUGAAUAAAUAUCUUUUUUUACGGAAUAGGUAAAACAAGAAAGGCGGGGCGACUUACAAAUCUUUACA